GGGGAUGUGUGGUUUCGACAGGGCUCGGAAGACGGAGAACGCGAGCCGAGGAUGCUGCUCAGGCCUCGUUAAUCAGGCAGCAAAACGAAGUACCUGGCAACCGCCAGUCGACUCUCACACUCGCUGCGUAAGCAGCUAGUGUGAGCGUGGAAGCCACCUCGGUCCCGCGGGUGGUGGAAGCGUCAUUUAGCGGGGCUGCAGCCCGGGCCAGUGUUGCGUAACCCGGGAUCAAGCUCGAUCUAGAGACACGUGACUGGACCGACCGGAACCCUGCCGAUGGGGGUUUGGGCGGUUGACGACAAAGCAUCGGACACGCUCGUAGUGGUCUCCGCCGAAGGGUUCUGGACGGGGAGUUCGACUCUCCCCCAUCUCCACCA
This 377-nucleotide transfer-messenger RNA is filed under the name Chloroflexota bacterium. It matches the Rfam family "transfer-messenger RNA". Rfam says of the family: Bacterial tmRNA, also known as 10Sa RNA or SsrA, is named for its dual tRNA and mRNA-like properties. Lineage: Bacteria; Bacillati; Chloroflexota. The record is from RNAcentral.